GACGAACGCUGGCGGCAUGCCUAACACAUGCAAGUCGAACGAAACCUCCGGGUCCAGGGGCGCCCGGGGGCGUAACGCGUGGGAUCCUGCCCUUGUGUUCGGCAUAACUCUCCGAAAGGGGUGCUAAUAACGGAUAAUAUCUUCGGACCAAAGAUUUUUCGCCUUUGGAUGGGCCCGCGUUGCAUUAGGUAGUUGGUAGGGUAAAAGCCUACCAAGGCGACGAUCCAUAGCUGGGCUGAGAGGAUGAUCAGCGACACUGGGACUGAGACACGGCCCAGACUCGUACGGGAGGCAGGAGUGGGGGAUAGUGGACAGUGGGCGAAAGCCUGAUCCACCAAGGCCGCGAGAAUGAUGAUGGCCUUGGAGUUGUAAUGCGCUUUUACCCGGGCUGAUAAUGACGGUACCGGGAGAAUAAGCCCCGGCUAACUACGUG
Molecule: ribosomal RNA, 433 nt
Filed under: uncultured bacterium
Lineage: Bacteria
Description: partial 16S ribosomal RNA
Rfam family: Bacterial small subunit ribosomal RNA
Source: RNAcentral